AGGAUUCCCUUAGUAACUGCGAGUGAAGUGGGAAAAGCUCAAAUUUAAAAUCUGGCAGUCUGAUUUUAUAUCUUUGGCUGUCCGAGUUGUAAUCUAGAGAAGUGCUACCUGUACUGGACCAUGUAUAAGUCUCCUGGGAUGGAGCAUCAUAGAGGGUGAGAAUCCCGUCUUUGACAUGGACUGCCAGUGUGUUGUGGUGUACUUUCAAAGAGUCGAGUUGUUUGGGAAUGCAGCUCUAAAUGGGUGGUAAACUCCAUCUAAAGCUAAAUAUUGGCGAGAGACCGAUAGCGAACAAGUACCGUGAGGGAAAGAUGAAAAGUACUUUGGAAAGAGAGUUAAACAGUAUGUGAAAUUGUUGAAAGGGAAACACUUGAUGUCAGUUGUGUUAGCUAGGGAUCAGCCCAGCUUUUUU
RNAcentral lists this ribosomal RNA (412 nucleotides) under Amanita sp. 'albemarlensis'. RNAcentral's name for it is "partial large subunit ribosomal RNA". It matches the Rfam family "Eukaryotic large subunit ribosomal RNA", at positions 71 to 464 of the family's 3401-position model. Lineage: Eukaryota; Fungi; Basidiomycota; Agaricomycetes; Agaricales; Amanitaceae. The record is from RNAcentral.